ACUGCUUCCCCAAAGGCAGGCACAUUUUCACCAUAUCUUUUUCAUGAAUCUUCACAGAGGCAGUGUCUGUGCUUUCCUGCUGUUAACCGCAUGAACUCAAGGCUGAAAAUAUUUGCACUAAAGAGUCGAAGAUUAAUGCCCAAAAAUGAGAUAGAAAAUGAGCGACAGAGCAUGAAUAGAGGGGCUGAGCAGGGACCCUGAUGAAAUCCCAAGACUUGGAGAUCAUGACCUGAGCAGAAGGCAGAUACUUAGCCAUUUGAGCUACCCAGAAUUUCAUAUAGAUACUUUUCAGUUCGCCAAGGCCCCCAGGGAAAGUAAAUGUGGAGAAAAAGCUGAGGCCAACCCUCAACGGAGAUGUUCAUGUCUGAGAAAUAAACUUUUUGACUUUCCCAACUAAUUCAAUGCUUAGGCCAAUAAAGUAA
Molecule: long non-coding RNA, 422 nt
Filed under: Mustela putorius furo (domestic ferret)
Lineage: Eukaryota; Metazoa; Chordata; Mammalia; Carnivora; Mustelidae
Description: lncRNA (ENSMPUG00000027520.1)
Source: RNAcentral